RNAcentral lists this ribosomal RNA (467 nucleotides) under uncultured bacterium. Its description in RNAcentral is "partial 16S ribosomal RNA". It matches the Rfam family "Bacterial small subunit ribosomal RNA", at positions 28 to 506 of the family's 1533-position model. The record is from RNAcentral.
GACGAACGCUGGCGGCGUGCUUAACACAUGCAAGUCGAACGGAAAGGCCCUGCUUUUGUGGGGUGCUCGAGUGGCGAACGGGUGAGUAACACGUGAGUAACCUGCCCUUGACUUUGGGAUAACUUCAGGAAACUGGGGCUAAUACCGGAUAGGAGCUCCUGCUGCAUGGUGGGGGUUGGAAAGUUUCGGCGGUUGGGGAUGGACUCGCGGCUUAUCAGCUUGUUGGUGGGGUAGUGGCUUACCAAGGCUUUGACGGGUAGCCGGCCUGAGAGGGUGACCGGCCAAAUGGGGACUGAGGAACGGCCCAGACCCCUAGGGGGGGCAGCAGGGGGGAAAAUUGCACAAGGGGCGGAAGCCUGAUGCAGAAACGCCGGGGGGGGGAGGAGGGCCUUCGGGUUGUAAACCGCUUUCCCCUGGGACGAAGCGGGAGUGACGGUAAUGGGUAAAGAAGCACCGGCAAACUACGU